GCGCCUGUGGCUCAAAGGAGUAGGGCGCUGGCCCCAUAUGCCAGAGGUGGUGGGUUCAAACCCACCCAGGCCA
RNAcentral lists this transfer RNA (73 nucleotides) under Otolemur garnettii (small-eared galago). It matches the Rfam family "tRNA". From Rfam's summary of the family: Transfer RNA (tRNA) molecules are approximately 80 nucleotides in length. Their secondary structure includes four short double-helical elements and three loops (D, anti-codon, and T loops). Lineage: Eukaryota; Metazoa; Chordata; Mammalia; Primates; Galagidae. The record is from Rfam by way of RNAcentral.